AGUGAACGCUGGCGGUAGGCCUAACACAUGCAAGUCGAACGGCAGCACAGUAAGAUCUUGCUCUUACGGGUGGCGAGUGGCGGACGGGUGAGGAAUACAUCGGAAUCUACUUUUUCGUGGGGGAUAACGUAGGGAAACUUACGCUAAUACCGCAUACGACCUACGGGUGAAAGCAGGGGAUCUUCGGACCUUGCGCGAUUGAAUGAGCCGAUGUCGGAUUAGCUAGUUGGCGGGGUAAAGGCCCACCAAGGCGACGAUCCGUAGCUGGUCUGAGAGGAUGAUCAGCCACACUGGAACUGAGACACGGUCCAGACUCCUACGGGAGGCAGCAGUGGGGAAUAUUGGACAAUGGGCGCAAGCCUGAUCUAGCCAUACCGCGUGGGUGAAGAAGGCCUUCGGGUUGUAAAGCCCUUUUGUUGGGAAAGAAAAGCAGCAGGUUAAUACCCCGCUGUUCUGACGGUACCCAAAGAAUAAGCACCGGCUAACUUCGUG
This 492-nucleotide ribosomal RNA is filed under the name uncultured bacterium. Its description in RNAcentral is "partial 16S ribosomal RNA". It matches the Rfam family "Bacterial small subunit ribosomal RNA", at positions 29 to 507 of the family's 1533-position model. The record is from RNAcentral.